CCCUUAGAUGUUCUGGGUCGCACGCGCGCUACACUGACGGAGCCAACGAGUAUUUUCCUUGUCCGGAAGGACUGGGUAAUCUUGUGAAACUUUGUCGUGCUGGGGAUAGAGCAUUGUAAUUAUUGCUCUUCAACGAGGAAUUCCUAGUAAGCGUGAGUCAUCAGCUCGCGUUGAUUACGUCCCUGCCCUUUGUACACACCGCCCGUCGCUACUACCGAUUGAAUGGCUUAGUGAGCCUUUGGGAUUGGCAGCCAACACCGGCAACGGUAGCUGGCCGCCGAAAACUUAUGCAAACUUGGUCAUUUAGAGGAAGUAAAAGUCGUAACA
This 327-nucleotide ribosomal RNA is filed under the name uncultured eukaryote. RNAcentral describes it as "partial 18S ribosomal RNA". It matches the Rfam family "Eukaryotic small subunit ribosomal RNA", at positions 1470 to 1796 of the family's 1831-position model. The record is from RNAcentral.